Molecule: ribosomal RNA, 219 nt
Filed under: Diaspididae sp. BOLD:ABA4818
Lineage: Eukaryota; Metazoa; Arthropoda; Insecta; Hemiptera; Diaspididae
Description: partial 28S ribosomal RNA
Source: RNAcentral
GAACUUUGAAGAGAGAGUUCAAUAGUACGUGAAACCGUUCGGGGGUAAACGGACAGAGCCCGUGAAUCUGGGCGGCGGAAUUCAGGAYGGCCGGCGYGCUCUCGCRGURCGUCGGUCGUUUGAUAUUUCCGUCGCCAACUAACCGCAGACGUCGCGACCUGUUCGCGGUCGGUCCCUGCUCGGAGGAGCCGCGAUCGAGUUCGUUGUGGGCGCGUCUUG